This 863-nucleotide ribosomal RNA is filed under the name uncultured bacterium. RNAcentral's name for it is "bacterial SSU rRNA". It matches the Rfam family "Bacterial small subunit ribosomal RNA", at positions 56 to 914 of the family's 1533-position model. The record is from RNAcentral.
UGCAAGUCGAGCGGAUGAGAGGAGCUUGCUCCUCGAUUUAGCGGCGGACGGGUGAGUAAUGCCUAGGAAUCUGCCUAGUAGUGGGGGACAACGUUUCGAAAGGAACGCUAAUACCGCAUACGUCCUACGGGAGAAAGUGGGGGAUCUUCGGACCUCACGCUAUUAGAUGAGCCUAGGUCGGAUUAGCUAGUUGGUAGGGUAAAGGCCUACCAAGGCGACGAUCCGUAACUGGUCUGAGAGGAUGAUCAGUCACACUGGAACUGAGACACGGUCCAGACUCCUACGGGAGGCAGCAGUGGGGAAUAUUGGACAAUGGGCGAAAGCCUGAUCCAGCCAUGCCGCGUGUGUGAAGAAGGCCCUCGGGUCGUAAAGCACUUUAAGUUGGGAGGAAGGGCUUACAGCGAAUACCUGUGAGUUUUGACGUUACCGACAGAAUAAGCACCGGCUAACUUCGUGCCAGCAGCCGCGGUAAUACGAAGGGUGCAAGCGUUAAUCGGAAUUACUGGGCGUAAAGCGCGCGUAGGUGGCUUGAUAAGUUGGAUGUGAAAUCCCCGGGCUCAACCUGGGAACUGCAUCCAAAACUGUCUGGCUAGAGUGUGGUAGAGGGUAGUGGAAUUUCCAGUGUAGCGGUGAAAUGCGUAGAUAUUGGAAGGAACACCAGUGGCGAAGGCGACUACCUGGACUAACACUGACACUGAGGUGCGAAAGCGUGGGGAGCAAACAGGAUUAGAUACCCUGGUAGUCCACGCCGUAAACGAUGUCAACUAGCCGUUGGGAUCCUUGAGAUCUUAGUGGCGCAGCUAACGCAUUAAGUUGACCGCCUGGGGAGUACGGCCGCAAGGUUAAAACUCAAAUGAAUUGAC